CCAUUUCUUCCUCGGAAUUUUGAAGGAAAACUAAAAAGAGAAGAUCGCACAUUUGUUACCCAACAUUUUAUUGGUUUUCUAUUCGAGUACUCAACAUUCAAUCUCACCUUUCUGAGUUGCUUAACAUUAUUUUUUUCUAAUGUGGUACCUAUGGUGAGUUUCAUCACUUGAGUGAUGACAAUAAAGUGGGCUCAGAUUGGAAAAAGAGAACACACAUAUCUAGCACCUUUUGUUAAAUUUCUAAUUCAGCAC
RNAcentral lists this long non-coding RNA (252 nucleotides) under Populus trichocarpa (black cottonwood). Its description in RNAcentral is "long non-coding RNA (PTRI_LNC000859)". Lineage: Eukaryota; Viridiplantae; Streptophyta; Magnoliopsida; Malpighiales; Salicaceae. The record is from RNAcentral.